CACGUAGGGGACGAGCGUUGUCCGGAUUCAUUGGGCGUAAAGCGCGCGUAGGCGGCUCGGAAAGUCGGUCGUGAAAUGCCGGGGCUCAACCCCGGGACUGCGUCCGAUACUCCCGAGCUGGAGGCAGGUAGGGGAGAUCGGAAUUCCUGGUGUAGCGGUGAAAUGCGCAGAUAUCAGGAGGAAAACCGGUGGCGAAGGCGGAUCUCUGGGCCUUGCCUGACGCUGAGGCGCGAAAGCUAGGGGAGCGAACAGG
This 253-nucleotide ribosomal RNA is filed under the name uncultured bacterium. RNAcentral's name for it is "partial 16S ribosomal RNA". It matches the Rfam family "Bacterial small subunit ribosomal RNA", at positions 524 to 776 of the family's 1533-position model. The record is from RNAcentral.